GGUAUAGCGCCACCUAGUGGCCGGCGUGUCUGGAUUUGGUUAUCUGAGUAGCGGUGCCGGACCUGGAUCUAGUCAUGCAAUUGGCGUGUCGGCACCAUUUACGGUUUGGGCUGUGGUACCACUUCUAAGGCGUAUAGUAUAAUAAUAAUAAUCCUUACAAAAACAAUAGGGAUCCAACCUGUUGGCUUGGACCCCUAAUUUGGUUGGAGAUUUCAAGUCUUAUGAUUGUACCCAUUAGACUAUAUUUACCAACUCAUUUAUUAACCUAGCUUACAAAAUGUGCAUCCCAAUCCAAAUGACGAUUACAAAUGGAAUAUUAACAUGACUCUCAUUCCUAUCUAGAACUUGAUGACCUCCGCUGCACGAACGCCUCCCAAGAACUGGACAACCUGGACAGCACGACCGUAUUAUUACAACCUGGACAGCACGACCAUCUACUACCAAGCCCCUGAAAACGGAAACAGAGGACAAUGUAAAUGGAGUGUAAAUAGAGUGAUGUGUUAAGAGUGAUGUGUUAAGCGUGAAUAAAAAAUGAAAAACAUUUCAUAUUGUAAU
RNAcentral lists this long non-coding RNA (555 nucleotides) under Gadus morhua (Atlantic cod). RNAcentral describes it as "lncRNA (ENSGMOG00000033573.1)". Lineage: Eukaryota; Metazoa; Chordata; Actinopteri; Gadiformes; Gadidae. The record is from RNAcentral.